RNAcentral lists this ribosomal RNA (494 nucleotides) under uncultured bacterium. RNAcentral describes it as "partial 16S ribosomal RNA". It matches the Rfam family "Bacterial small subunit ribosomal RNA", at positions 28 to 507 of the family's 1533-position model. The record is from RNAcentral.
GACGAACGCUGGCGGCGUGCUUAACACAUGCAAGUCGAACGGUGAAGCGCCUUCCUUUUUGGUGGGUGUGGAUGAGUGGCGAACGGGUGAGUAACACGUGAGUAACCUGCCCCCUUCUUCUGGAUAACCGCAUGAAAGUGUUGCUAAUACGGGAUAUUCUGGUUCUGUCGCAUGAUUGGUCUGGGAAAGAUAUUGUUUCGGUGUGGGAUGGGCUCGCGGCCUAUCAGCUUGUUGGUGGGUUGAUGGCCUACCAAGGCGGUGACGAGUAGCCGGCCUGAGAGGGUGGACGGUCACACAGGGACUGAGACACGGACAAGACUACUACGGGAGGCAGCAGUGGGGAAUAUUGAACAAUGGGAGAAAGGCUGAUGCAGCGACGCCGCGUGAGGGAUGGAGGCCUUCGGGUUGUGAACCUCUUUCGCCAGUGAAGCAGGCCUGCCUCGUUUGUGGGUGGGUUGACGGUAGCUGGAUAAGAAGCGCCGGCUAACUACGUG